This 1669-nucleotide long non-coding RNA is filed under the name Mus musculus (house mouse). RNAcentral's name for it is "long non-coding RNA chr10:77597062-77598731". Lineage: Eukaryota; Metazoa; Chordata; Mammalia; Rodentia; Muridae. The record is from RNAcentral.
UAAGGUGGCUGGCACACACUUGUGGUGGAUCGUGCAGUUCCAGAGUUUCCUGGGAAUGCACUCCCCAGCAGAGCCUGCAGAGACCUCACCACCAUGGCCACCCUUGACCUGGGUGAUCCCUCCAGCCUCUACUGGCACCAGUGUGGCCUUAAGAGGACAAUCCUACUCUUGUUCCCUCUGUGUCUGUAUGUAAUCACCUGAGACCUUAAUCUCGUUGAUGUCCUUUUUGGGGGGAGGAAGUAUACUUGGUCCCCACACUCUGCAAGCCGAUUACGAAGCUGGCAGCCUGAGGUGCUGACUAGCUGCUGAGUGGCCUUGCUGGAAGAUUCACAUUGCAACAAGCAAGAGUCAUGUUUACUUUGUUAAGGCAAGAACUGACCACCACCCUUGCUUCCUGAAGGCUGUGUUUUGUCUGUAGGCCCACUGCUGUGAUGGGCCCUUGUUGUUGUAAUUUUGGUGGCCUCUUGGAAGGCACUGUCCCUAAGUCUGGUAAGGAUUGCCUUCCUAACCCAGCUCCAUCCAAUAGCACAAAAGCUUAUAAAGUCACCUGAAGUCUUUAAUAAUCCCUCAGGAAGCAGUCCUACCAAAACCUGCCAUGAGACGUCCAGGCCUCUUGGAUGACAUUUUUCAUUUUCAGUCUUUACUAGACUGAGAAUUUCCUGCUGUGGGAAACCUGAGCUCUGAAUUUAGUUUGAUCCUCUUGUGAGUGCUGAAUGUCCAGCAUGCUGGUGCAUGGACUCCAGUGUCCUUAGAAGGGCUUUGUGGAGGGUCUUGGACAUCUCCCUCCACAGAUCAGGCAGCUGUUGAGUUGGUCCUGUAUGUAUCAUGGAGGAUGAACAGCAUCUCCACUGGCCAUCCCAUUGUGGGAGCUGAGUGUGUAGGAAGAUAGGAGGACCCCACACCAUUCUGCCUUCCAGGAAAACUGCCUGAGCUGGCAUAGACACCCACCUCACUUCCACCCUGCUUCCAGCCAUGCCUCCUCACCUAUCGUGCCUGACACAUCCGCACGGGCCCUGGGAAGGUUGUCAGGAGACACUCGGGUCCCUGAGAUUCCGUCCACGCUGUACAUUUCUUUGAAAUCCAGAUGUGUCCUAGUAAGCAGAUCACAACCCUGAUGGCAGGGUAAGGAGUAAAGAUAUUCCCUCUGGGAAAGCAGCCACCAGCAGAUGAGGUGGUCUUACUGUAGGCUCCCUCAUGCCUAAGACCUCACCUAGCAUCUCGGUAACCUUUUCACCUGUCAGUCUGUCCAGGGAUUAAUAUUUUCCUCUCUUCAGAUUUCCACAAAGUAAGGGAAUAACCUUUACCACAAUCUGGAGUCUUACCAUUUUUCUGCUUUGCUAGGCAUUUGAUGGAACUUAAAGCCUUGUCAAACAUUUCUUAAGUAUUAUAGCAGGCAUUGAGAGUUAUCUUUCUCCUGUCUAUUGAAAGGGAACCCUCCUUACAGGCCCUGAUGAACUUCGUAUUAAUAUGUCGCCUGUAUAAAUUGUACCUGUUAGGUUGCUGAGCUGAUGUUAGAGUAUUUAAUUCUCCAGCCUAAGGAGUGCAGCAGGUGCUCGUGGGAGUGGUCUGUGCCUACCUUUGAGCAGCAUGAAGCCACAGAACCAAGCCUGACACCAUCACACCCCGUGCCUUAGUUUUUAACCACUGUCCAAUAAAAUGGUUGAAUAUG